This 254-nucleotide ribosomal RNA is filed under the name uncultured bacterium. RNAcentral describes it as "partial 16S ribosomal RNA". It matches the Rfam family "Bacterial small subunit ribosomal RNA", at positions 524 to 776 of the family's 1533-position model. The record is from RNAcentral.
UACGUAGGGUGCGAGCGUUGUCCGGAAUUAUUGGGCGUAAAGAGCUCGUAGGCGGUGUGUCACGUCGUUCGUGAAAACCUGCAGCUUAACUGUGGGCGUGCGGUCGAUACGGGCAUCACUGGAGUUCGGCAGGGGAGACUGGAAUUCCUGGUGUAGCGGUGAAAUGCGCAGAUAUCAGGAGGAACACCGGUGGCGAAGGCGGCAUCCUGGACCGGUAUUGACGCUGAGGCGCGAAAGCCAGGGGAGCAAACGGG